This 546-nucleotide ribosomal RNA is filed under the name Bacillus licheniformis. Its description in RNAcentral is "bacterial SSU rRNA". It matches the Rfam family "Bacterial small subunit ribosomal RNA", at positions 381 to 917 of the family's 1533-position model. Lineage: Bacteria; Bacillati; Bacillota; Bacilli; Caryophanales; Bacillaceae. The record is from RNAcentral.
GUCUGACGGAGCAACGCCGCGUGAGUGAUGAAGGUUUUCGGAUCGUAAAACUCUGUUGUUAGGGAAGAACAAGUACCGUUCGAAUAGGGCGGCACCUUGACGGUACCUAACCAGAAAGCCACGGCUAACUACGUGCCAGCAGCCGCGGUAAUACGUAGGUGGCAAGCGUUGUCCGGAAUUAUUGGGCGUAAAGCGCGCGCAGGCGGUUUCUUAAGUCUGAUGUGAAAGCCCCCGGCUCAACCGGGGAGGGUCAUUGGAAACUGGGGAACUUGAGUGCAGAAGAGGAGAGUGGAAUUCCACGUGUAGCGGUGAAAUGCGUAGAGAUGUGGAGGAACACCAGUGGCGAAGGCGACUCUCUGGUCUGUAACUGACGCUGAGGCGCGAAAGCGUGGGGAGCGAACAGGAUUAGAUACCCUGGUAGUCCACGCCGUAAACGAUGAGUGCUAAGUGUUAGAGGGUUUCCGCCCUUUAGUGCUGCAGCAAACGCAUUAAGCACUCCGCCUGGGGAGUACGGUCGCAAGACUGAAACUCAAAGGAAUUGACGGA